Long non-coding RNA from Amblyraja radiata (thorny skate), 306 nucleotides. RefSeq lists it as uncharacterized. The transcript is spliced from 3 exons. The record is from RefSeq and is a predicted model, not a curated record. Lineage: Eukaryota; Metazoa; Chordata; Chondrichthyes; Rajiformes; Rajidae.
GAAAUGUCUUUAAUUUGCAAAGACGUGGCACUUGUGGUGUCUUAAUCUCUUGAUUAAAACUUGAUGGUCGUGAGUGUAGCCCCGCCCCUUCGCCUCAAACGGCAUGGCGUACUGAUAACCAACAAUGAGAGCGGGUUUUACCAAUUGUGAAAGGCUAUCAAAAAAACUAUGGGCAGACCUACAUCAGUCGAUCAUUAAUGGCGUAUUAAAACCUUGUGGCAAUGGUCCGGGACACUGUGGGCCAACAAAGUACAGACUCAACAUCUGGACUAAGCGAUCCAGGCUCCAGAUGUUGUGACCCCACUG